Molecule: ribosomal RNA, 168 nt
Filed under: uncultured Acinetobacter sp.
Lineage: Bacteria; Pseudomonadati; Pseudomonadota; Gammaproteobacteria; Moraxellales; Moraxellaceae
Description: partial 16S ribosomal RNA
Rfam family: Bacterial small subunit ribosomal RNA
Source: RNAcentral
UGAUCAGGACGGGGCGAGCCUGAGCAGCCUGCCGCGUGUGUGAAGAAGGCCUUUUGGUUGUAAAGCACUUUAAGCGAGGAGGAAGCUCUCCUAGUUAAUACCUAGGAAGAGUGACCGUUACUCGAAAAAUAAGCACCGGCUAACUCUGUGCCAGCAGCCGCGGUAAUA